GGAUGAUUUUCCUUAAAUUUGUCUAUCGCAUGCAGGGUUUGGUUCCAAAUACGUUUGCUACCCCUGGAAGAUCUUCUUCAAGUGGAAACUCUAGUGACUUUUUUGA
RNAcentral lists this non-coding RNA (106 nucleotides) under Mucochytrium quahogii. Lineage: Eukaryota; Bigyra; Thraustochytrida; Thraustochytriidae. The record is from RNAcentral.